UUGGCUUUGGUAUAUGGAAUAGAGUCUUUCCUUAUAGCUAGUCUUCUGACUUGCUCUGGAAUACGGAUUUUUCAUGCCUAGCUUUAUGGGAAAGAUCAUAUCUAGAGUAGAUACCGAAUCUCAUUCCUUAUCAAUUUCAUGGUUCAUUCCAGUCUUUAGUAAGUCAAGGCAUUCGGGAAGCAGGAGAUCGAUCCGCUCUUUCCAUCUCUCUUGCCGGCUUAGCCGAACUACUUGAACUCGAG
This 242-nucleotide long non-coding RNA is filed under the name Solanum tuberosum (potato). RNAcentral's name for it is "long non-coding RNA (STUB_LNC005836)". The record is from RNAcentral. Lineage: Eukaryota; Viridiplantae; Streptophyta; Magnoliopsida; Solanales; Solanaceae.